GCAGAGUAGGACUGCACGCGCCAAGUGCCCGGGAGACGGGGAGUUGUUCCCGGGACGAUAGCAGACGAAUGGAUCUGCUGCGGUGUGCACUCCGCAUCCCGCUGC
RNAcentral lists this non-coding RNA (105 nucleotides) under chicken gut metagenome. RNAcentral describes it as "THF riboswitch". It matches the Rfam family "THF (Tetrahydrofolate) riboswitch aptamer". Rfam says of the family: THF riboswitch presents a pseudoknot that joins P1-P2 and the loop of P3 and two THF binding. The record is from RNAcentral.